ACGAACGCUGGCGGCGUGCCUAAUACACGCAAGUCGAACGAGAGCGACCGGUGCUUGCACUGGUCAAUCUAGUGGCGAACGGGUGAGUAACACGUGGGUAACCUGCCCAUCAGAGGGGGAUAACAUCCGGAAACGGAUGCUAAAACCGCAUAGGUCUUCGAGCCGCAUGGCUUGAAGAGGAAAAGAGGCGCAAGCUUCUGCUGAUGGAUGGACCCGCGGUGCAUUAGCUAGUUGGUGAGGUAACGGCUCACCAAGGCCGUGAUGCAUAGCCGACCUGAGAGGGUGAUCGGCCACAUUGGGACUGAGACACGGCCCAAACUCCUACGGGAGGCAGCAGUAGGGAAUCUUCCGCAAUGGACGCAAGUCUGACGGAGCAACGCCGCGUGAGUGAAGAAGGUUUUCGGAUCGUAAAACUCUGUUGUUAGAGAAGAACAAGUGCUAGAGUAACUGUUAGCGCCUUGACGGUAUCUAACCAGAAAGCCACGGCUAACUACGUG
This 497-nucleotide ribosomal RNA is filed under the name uncultured bacterium. Its description in RNAcentral is "partial 16S ribosomal RNA". It matches the Rfam family "Bacterial small subunit ribosomal RNA", at positions 29 to 507 of the family's 1533-position model. The record is from RNAcentral.